This 94-nucleotide transfer RNA is filed under the name Burkholderia stagnalis. RNAcentral describes it as "tRNA-Leu". The record is from RNAcentral. Lineage: Bacteria; Pseudomonadati; Pseudomonadota; Betaproteobacteria; Burkholderiales; Burkholderiaceae.
CCGCCGUAGGUCAGCGUUUUGGAGAUGAUCUGGCUCAGGUCCAGGUAACUCGUGCCGCUCAACAAGCCCGCUGUGCGAUACCGCGACAGCAAGC